AGUGAACGCUGGCGGCAGGCCUAACACAUGCAAGUCGAACGGCAGCACGGCAGUAGCAAUACUGUGGGUGGCGAGUGGCGGACGGGUGAGGAAUACAUGGGAAUCUACCCUGUCGUGGGGGAUAACGUAGGGAAACUUACGCUAAUACCGCAUACGACCGAGAGGUGAAAGCGGCGGACCGCAAGGCGUCGCGCGAUUGGAUGAGCCCAUGUCGGAUUAGCUAGUUGGCGGGGUAAAGGCCCACCAAGGCGACGAUCGGUAGCUGGUCUGAGUAGACGAUAGGCCACACGGGAGAUAGGACACGGUCAAGACUCCGACGGGAGGCAGCAUUGAGGAACGUUGGACAAGGGGCGCGAGCCUGAUCCAGCCAUGCCGCGUGAGUGAAGUAGGCCUUCGGGUUGUAAAGCUCUUUUGGCCGGAAAGAAAAGCUCUCGGUUAAUACCCGGGGGUGAUGACGGUACCGGAAGAAUAAGCACCGGCUAACUUCGUGCCAGCCGCCGCGGUAA
This 506-nucleotide ribosomal RNA is filed under the name uncultured bacterium. RNAcentral describes it as "partial 16S ribosomal RNA". It matches the Rfam family "Bacterial small subunit ribosomal RNA", at positions 30 to 523 of the family's 1533-position model. The record is from RNAcentral.